UACAGAGGUCCCAAGCGUUGUUCGGAAUUACUGGGCGUAAAGCGUGCGCAGGCGGUUCGUUGUGUCGGCGGUGAAAGCCCCGGGCUCAACCUGGGAAUGGCCGUUGAAACUGGCGAACUGGAGUGUGGCAGAGGGGGGUGGAAUUCCGCGUGUAGCAGUGAAAUGCGUAGAGAUGCGGAGGAACACCGAUGGCGAAGGCAGCCCCCUGGGCUGACACUGACGCUCAGGCACGAAAGCGUGGGGAGCAAACAGG
RNAcentral lists this ribosomal RNA (253 nucleotides) under uncultured bacterium. RNAcentral's name for it is "partial 16S ribosomal RNA". It matches the Rfam family "Bacterial small subunit ribosomal RNA", at positions 524 to 776 of the family's 1533-position model. The record is from RNAcentral.